UAGUCCACGCCGUAAACGAUGUCUACUAGCCGUUGGGGAACUUGAUUCCUUAGUGGCGCAGCUAACGCACUAAGUAGACCGCCUGGGGAGUACGGUCGCAAGAUUAAAACUCAAAUGAAUUGACGGGGGCCCGCACAAGCGGUGGAGCAUGUGGUUUAAUUCGAUGCAACGCGAAGAACCUUACCUGGUCUUGACAUCCUGCGAAUUUUCUAGAGAUAGAUUAGUGCCUUCGGGAACGCAGUGACAGGUGCUGCAUGACUGUCGUCAGCUCGUGUUGUGAAAUGUUGGGUUAAGUCCCGUAACGAGCGCAACCCUUAUCCUUAUUUGCCAGCACUUCGGGUGGGAACUCUAAGGAGACUGCCGGUGACAAACCGGAGGAAGGUGGGGGCGACGUCAAGGUCAUCAUGGCCCUUACGACCAGGGGCUACACACGUGCUACAAUGGGCAAAUACAGAGGGGACGCAAGACCGCGAGGGU
Molecule: ribosomal RNA, 477 nt
Filed under: uncultured bacterium
Lineage: Bacteria
Description: bacterial SSU rRNA
Rfam family: Bacterial small subunit ribosomal RNA
Source: RNAcentral